Molecule: ribosomal RNA, 706 nt
Filed under: uncultured bacterium
Lineage: Bacteria
Description: bacterial SSU rRNA
Rfam family: Bacterial small subunit ribosomal RNA
Source: RNAcentral
CGGGUGAGUAAUGGAUAAGUAACCUGCCCUUAAGUGGGGGAUAACACUUCGAAAGAAGUGCUAAUACCGCAUGUGGUGCUCUUUCACAAGAAGGAUCACUAAAACCGCAAGGUGCUUGAGGAGGGGCUUGUCUCCGAUUAGCUAGUUGGUGGGGUAACGGCCUACCAAGGCGAUGAUCGGUAGCUGGUCUGAGAGGAUGGUCAGCCACACUGGGACUGAGACACGGCCCAGACUCCUACGGGAGGCAGCAGCAAGGAAUCUUGGGCAAUGGGCGAAAGCCUGACCCAGCGACGCCGCGUGAGGGAUGACGGCCUUCGGGUUGUAAACCUCUUUUCUCAGGGAAGAAUAAUGACGGUACCUGAGGAAUAAGUCUCGGCUAACUACGUGCCAGCAGCCGCGGUAAUACGUAGGAGGCGAGCGUUAUCCGGAUUUAUUGGGCGUAAAGUGGGCGUAGGUGGUCUUUCAAGUCGGAUGUGAAAUCUCCCGGCUCAACUGGGAGGGGCCAUCCGAUACUGUUGGACUUGAGUACAGCAGGGGAAAAUGGAAUUCCCGGUGUAGUGGUGAAAUGCGUAGAUAUCGGGAGGAACACCAGAGGCGAAGGCGAUUUUCCAGGCUGAAACUGACACUGAGGCCCGAAAGCGUGGGGAGCGAACAGGAUUAGAUACCCUGGUAGUCCACGCCUUAAACCCCAAAAGGAGGUAUAGGG